This 822-nucleotide ribosomal RNA is filed under the name Dietzia sp. Its description in RNAcentral is "bacterial SSU rRNA". It matches the Rfam family "Bacterial small subunit ribosomal RNA", at positions 34 to 872 of the family's 1533-position model. Lineage: Bacteria; Bacillati; Actinomycetota; Actinomycetes; Mycobacteriales; Dietziaceae. The record is from RNAcentral.
CGCUGGCGGCGUGCUUAACACAUGCAAGUCGAACGGUAAGGCCCUUCGGGGUACACGAGUGGCGAACGGGUGAGUAACACGUGGGUAAUCUGCCCUGCACUUCGGGAUAAGCCUGGGAAACUGGGUCUAAUACCGGAUAUUAAGUUCGUCCGCCAUGUNNNGGGUUGGAAAGUUUUUCGGUGCAGGAUGAGCCCGCGGCCUAUCAGCUUGUUGGUGGGGUAAUGGCCUACCAAGGCGACGACGGGUAGCCGGCCUGAGAGGGUGAUCGGCCACACUGGGACUGAGACACGGCCCAGACUCCUACGGGAGGCAGCAGUGGGGAAUAUUGCACAAUGGGCGAAAGCCUGAUGCAGCGACGCCGCGUGGGGGAUGACGGUCUUCGGAUUGUAAACCCCUUUCAGUAGGGACGAAGCGCAAGUGACGGUACCUGCAGAAGAAGCACCGGCCAACUACGUGCCAGCAGCCGCGGUAAUACGUAGGGUGCGAGCGUUGUCCGGAAUUACUGGGCGUAAAGAGCUCGUAGGCGGUUUGUCGCGUCGUCCGUGAAAACUCGGAGCUUAACUCCGAGCUUGCGGGCGAUACGGGCAGACUUGAGUACUACAGGGGAGACUGGAAUUCCUGGUGUAGCGGUGAAAUGCGCAGAUAUCAGGAGGAACACCGGUGGCGAAGGCGGGUCUCUGGGUAGUAACUGACGCUGAGGAGCGAAAGCAUGGGUAGCGAACAGGAUUAGAUACCCUGGUAGUCCAUGCCGUAAACGGUGGGCGCUAGGUGUGGGGUCCUUCCACGGAUUCCGUGCCGUAGCUAACGCAUUAAGCGCCCCGC